This 456-nucleotide ribosomal RNA is filed under the name Mopalia plumosa. RNAcentral's name for it is "partial 16S ribosomal RNA". It matches the Rfam family "Bacterial large subunit ribosomal RNA", at positions 1922 to 2597 of the family's 2925-position model. The record is from RNAcentral. Lineage: Eukaryota; Metazoa; Mollusca; Polyplacophora; Chitonida; Mopaliidae.
UUUUAACGGCCGCCGUACCCUGACUGUGCUAAGGUAGCAUAAUCACUUGUUUUUUAAUUGAAAGCUUGUAUGAAUGGCUUGACGCAGGUAAAGCUGUCUCUUUUAUAUUAAAUAAAAAUUAAUUUUUAAGUGCAGAAGCUUAAAUGAAACCAAAAGACGAAAAGACCCUAUCGAGCUUGAAAAUUAUAAUUAAAUUAAAUUUAUAGUAAAAUAAUUUUUAAUUAAUUUUUUUUGUUGGGGCGACAAAAGAACAAAUAAAGCUUCUUUUCAUUUUAUAAAUUUAUAAAUUUAUAGAUCCAUAAAUUAUGAUUAAAAGAAAAAGCUACCGUAGGGAUAACAGCGUUAUUUUUUCAAAGAGUUCUUAUCGAAGAAAAAGUUUGCGACCUCGAUGUUGGAUUAAAGUAACUUUUAAGUGCAGAAGCUUAAAUAGUGGGUCUGUUCGACCCUUAAACCUUU